This 398-nucleotide ribosomal RNA is filed under the name uncultured Saprolegniales. RNAcentral describes it as "partial small subunit ribosomal RNA". It matches the Rfam family "Eukaryotic small subunit ribosomal RNA", at positions 30 to 432 of the family's 1831-position model. Lineage: Eukaryota; Oomycota; Saprolegniomycetes; Saprolegniales. The record is from RNAcentral.
GCUUGUCUCAAAGAUUAAGCCAUGCAUGUCUAAGUAUAAACGAUUUUAUACGUGAAACUGCGAAUGGCUCAUUAUAUCAGUUAUAGUUUAUUUGAUGGUCCUUACUAUUUGGAUAACCGUAGUAAUUCUAGAGCUAAUACAUGCGUAAAUACCCAACUGCUUGUCGGACGGGUAGCAUUUAUUAGAUUGAAACCAAUGCAGCUUCGGCUGGUAUUGUGUUGAGUCAUAAUAACUGUGCGGAUCGCUUUUUAAGCGAUAAAUCGAUUGAGUUUCUGCCCUAUCAGCUUUGGAUGGUAGGAUAUGGGCCUACCAUGGCGUUAACGGGUAACGGGGAAUUAGGGUUUGAUUCCGGAGAGGGAGCCUUAGAAACGGCUACCACAUCCAAGGAAGGCAGCAGG